AACGUAGGUGGCGAUCGUUAUCCGGAUUUACUGGGCGUAAAGGGUGUGCAGGCGGGCUGUUAAGUGGUGUAUGAAAUAUCCCGGCUCAACCGGGAAGGGUUAUGCCAGACUGGCAGUCUAGAGAGCGAGAGAGGGACGUGGAAUUCCCGGUGUAGUGGUGAAAUGCGUAGAUAUCGGGAGGAACACCAGUGGCGAAGGCGACUACCUGGCCUGUUCUUGACGCUGAGGCGCGAAAGCUAGGGGAGCAAACGGG
RNAcentral lists this ribosomal RNA (253 nucleotides) under uncultured bacterium. RNAcentral describes it as "partial 16S ribosomal RNA". It matches the Rfam family "Bacterial small subunit ribosomal RNA", at positions 524 to 776 of the family's 1533-position model. The record is from RNAcentral.